AGAACGAACGCUGGCGGCAUGCCUAAUACAUGCAAGUCGAACGAACACUUCGGUGUUAGUGGCGCACGGGUGCGUAACGCGUGGGAAUCUGCCCUUGGGUUCGGAAUAACAGUUGGAAACGACUGCUAAGUACCGGAUGAUGACGAAAGUCCAAAGAUUUAUCGCCCAGGGAUGAGCCCGCGUAGGAUUAGCUAGUUGGUGAGGUAAAGCUCACCAGGCGACGAUCCUUAGCUGGUCUGAGAGGAUGAUCAGCCACACUGGGACUGAGACGACGGCCCAGACCUCCGACGGGAGCAGCGAGUAGGGAAUACGUUGGACAAGUGGGCUACGAA
RNAcentral lists this ribosomal RNA (332 nucleotides) under uncultured soil bacterium. RNAcentral's name for it is "bacterial SSU rRNA". It matches the Rfam family "Bacterial small subunit ribosomal RNA", at positions 26 to 379 of the family's 1533-position model. The record is from RNAcentral.